RNAcentral lists this long non-coding RNA (230 nucleotides) under Homo sapiens (human). RNAcentral describes it as "HSALNT0248996". The record is from RNAcentral. Lineage: Eukaryota; Metazoa; Chordata; Mammalia; Primates; Hominidae.
GGAUUCUCUCUUGCAUUUCACUCUGCACUUCGAAGGAAGUUGGAUAAAUUGACUCAGGAAAGGGCAGAAUGAACUUGAUAUUGUGACUGUACAUUUCAGAGAGGCCCCAAAGAGCAAAUAUUCAGAUCACAGCAUUCACUCCCGGAAUAAGCAUAUUCGAAAACCCUUUCUUUGUCAAGCACGAUACGUGGAGGGAGACUCAUUCUGUUUCAGAAAGCUGAGAGUUAAGU